UACGAGAGGAAAAGGAAGGGGAAGGAAAUAGGGAAUGCAGUAAUUUACAAAGGUCUGCGAAUAGUGAAUUUUACACUGGUUAACGAGCAAUUUAAACCGCUUGGAAAUUAAUCUAUCCGGCAUGUAUUUGAAAA
Eufriesea mexicana is the source of this 134-nucleotide long non-coding RNA. RefSeq lists it as uncharacterized. The transcript is spliced from 2 exons. The record is from RefSeq and is a predicted model, not a curated record. Lineage: Eukaryota; Metazoa; Arthropoda; Insecta; Hymenoptera; Apidae.